Molecule: transfer RNA, 69 nt
Filed under: Hydrosaurus amboinensis (sailfin lizard)
Lineage: Eukaryota; Metazoa; Chordata; Lepidosauria; Squamata; Agamidae
Description: tRNA-Thr
Rfam family: tRNA
About the family: Transfer RNA (tRNA) molecules are approximately 80 nucleotides in length. Their secondary structure includes four short double-helical elements and three loops (D, anti-codon, and T loops).
Source: RNAcentral
GUCCUAGUAGCUUACAUUUAACAAAGCAUUAGUCUUGUAAACUAAAGACGGAAUACAAUCCCAAGGACA